GCGCAGCAGGCGAGAAAACUUUACAAUGUGCGAAAGCACGAUAAGGGAACUCUGAGUGCCUCCUAAGGAGGCUGUUCUGAUGUCUAAAAAGCAACAGAAGUAAGGGCUGGGUAAGACCGGUGCCAGCCGCCGCGGUAACACCGGCAGCCCAAGUGGUAGCCACGUUUAUUGGGUCUAAAGCGUUCGUAGCCGGCCAGGUAAGUUCCUUGGUAAAUUUAGCCGCUUAACGGUUAAGCUUUCAGGGAAUACUGCUUGGCUUGGGACUGGGAGAGGUCAGAGGUACUCCGGGGGUAGGGUGAAAUCUAUUAAUCCCUGGGGGACCACCGGUAGCGAAGGCGUCUGACCAGACCAGGUCCGACGGUGAGGGACGAAGGCUAGGGGCGCGAACCGGAUUAGAUACCCCCGUAGU
Molecule: ribosomal RNA, 409 nt
Filed under: uncultured microorganism
Description: bacterial SSU rRNA
Rfam family: Archaeal small subunit ribosomal RNA
Source: RNAcentral